This 468-nucleotide ribosomal RNA is filed under the name uncultured bacterium. Its description in RNAcentral is "partial 16S ribosomal RNA". It matches the Rfam family "Bacterial small subunit ribosomal RNA", at positions 28 to 507 of the family's 1533-position model. The record is from RNAcentral.
GACGAACGCUGGCGGCGUGCUUAACACAUGCAAGUCGAACGGUGAGGCCCCGGCUUGCUGGGGUGCUUCAGUGGCGAACGGGUGAGUAACACGUGAGUAACCUGCCCCUGACUCUGGGAUAACCUCUGGAAACUGCGGCUAAUACCGGAUACGAGAUGCGGCUGCAUGGUGGCGUUCUGAAAGUUUCGGCGGUUGGGGAUGGACUCGCGGCUUAUCAGCUUGUUGGUGGGGUAAUGGCUUACCAAGGCUUCGACGGGUAGCCGGCCUGAGAGGGUGACCGGCCACAUUGGGACUGAGACACGGCCCAGACUCCUACGGGAGGCAGCAGUGGGGAAUAUUGCACAAUGGGCGAAAGCCUGAUGCAGCAACGCCGCGUGCGGGAUGACGGCCUUCGGGUUGUAAACCUCUUUCGGCUGGGACGAAGCGUAAGUGACGGUAAUGGGUAAAGAAGCACCGGCUAACUACGUG